UGCAGUCGAACGGCAGCACGGGAGCAAUCCUGGUGGCGAGUGGCGAACGGGUGAGUAAUACAUCGGAACGUGUCCUGUAGUGGGGGAUAGCCCGGCGAAAGCCGGAUUAAUACCGCAUACGAUCUACGGAAGAAAGCGGGGGAUCCUUCGGGACCUCGCGCUAUAGGGGCGGCCGAUGGCAGAUUAGCUAGUUGGUGGGGUAAAGGCCUACCAAGGCGACGAUCUGUAGCUGGUCUGAGAGGACGACCAGCCACACUGGGACUGAGACACGGCCCAGACUCCUACGGGAGGCAGCAGUGGGGAAUUUUGGACAAUGGGGGAAACCCUGAUCCAGCAAUGCCGCGUGUGUGAAGAAGGCCUUCGGGUUGUAAAGCACUUUUGUCCGGAAAGAAAACCUUUGGGCUAAUACCCUGAGGGGAUGACGGUACCGGAAGAAUAAGCACCGGCUAACUACGUGCCAGCAGCCGCGGUAAUACGUAGGGUGCGAGCGUUAAUCGGAAUUACUGGGCGUAAAGCGUGCGCAGGCGGUUCGUUAAGACAGAUGUGAAAUCCCCGGGCUUAACCUGGGAACUGCAUUUGUGACUGGCGAGCUAGAGUAUGGCAGAGGGGGGUAGAAUUCCACGUGUAGCAGUGAAAUGCGUAGAGAUGUGGAGGAAUACCGAUGGCGAAGGCAGCCCCCU
RNAcentral lists this ribosomal RNA (680 nucleotides) under Burkholderia sp. M73T10. RNAcentral describes it as "bacterial SSU rRNA". It matches the Rfam family "Bacterial small subunit ribosomal RNA", at positions 56 to 730 of the family's 1533-position model. The record is from RNAcentral. Lineage: Bacteria; Pseudomonadati; Pseudomonadota; Betaproteobacteria; Burkholderiales; Burkholderiaceae.